AUGCACCGUUCCACUGCAGAACAGACAAGAAUUCCCUUUGGCCAGUGACAACGAGGUGUAAACAAGAAAGCAGAAACAUUUCUGUAUAUAAACGAUUGACAGAUAAGAUAGAUAACCCAUAAAUAAACACAUAGGAAGGUUAAACACGGAGUUAAUGUGUGAAUGAUAAACAUCUGUGAUAAUAACAGUUCACGUGAAAGUGAGAACAUAAAGCAGAUUUUGAUUUAUUUUUUAAUUUUUUAUUUUUUUUACAGCUCAGGGAAAAACGAUGCCAUUUACAGAAAGAAGAUGGAUACUUAAUAAAUAACACUGUUUCUCUUUGGACAAAUAUAUUUAUUCAUAAUAUAAAAAAAUAAUGAAAACUAAAAAAGAAAUAAAAAAAAAUGGUGGUAGAAAUAACAUGGUAGAUAGUAAGUACAGUGUUUAACUGUAUAAAUUAUAAAAACACAAACCAAAUGUAUAAAUAAAACAUCUAGAACUGAACUAAAUGUAUACUUUUGUCUCUUUAAAAAAUAUAUAUAAGCAUGUGGACUGUACAGUAUGAACAUGGUUCCAGGCCCUUGGACUGUCCUUCUGGUGCAGACCAGGCAGGCAGAUAGAUAGACAGUCUACCAACCAAUAAGGAGGGGAGGAAGAUAAGACUAUCCACCAAUGAGGAGGACAGGUGGAUAUGAUAGACAGUCUAUCCAACCAAUAAGGAGGGGAGGAAGAUAAGACUAUCCACCAAUGAGGAGGACAGAUGGAUAUGAUAGACAGUCUAUCCAACCAAUAAGGAGGGGAGGAAGAUAAGACUAUCCACCAAUGAGGAGGACAGGUGGAUAUGAUAGACAGUCUAUCCAACCAAUAAGGAGGGGAGGAAGAUAAGACUAUCCACCAAUGAGGAGGACAGGUGGAUAUGAUAGACAGCCUAUCCAUCCAAUAAGGAGGACAGAUGGAUAUGAUAGACAGCCUAUCCAUCCAAUAAGGAGGACAGGUGGAUAUGAUAGACAGACUAUCCACCAAUGAGGAGGACAGGUGGAUAUGAUAGACAGACUAUCCACCAAUGAGGAGGACAGGUGGAUAUGAUAGACAGCCUAUCCAUCCAAUAAGGAGGACAGGUGGAUAUGAUAGACAGCCUAUCCAUCCAAUAAGGAGGACAGAUGGAUAUGAUAGACAGCCUAUCCAUCCAAUAAGGAGGACAGAUGGAUAUGAUAGACAGACUAUCCACCAAUGAGGAGGACAGGUGGAUAUGAUAGACAGACUAUCCACCAAUGAGGAGGACAGGUGGAUAUGAUAGACAGCCUAUCCAUCCAAUAAGGAGGACAGGUGGAUAUGAUAGACAGCCUAUCCAUCCAAUAAGGAGGACAGGUGGAUAUGAUAGACAGCCUAUCCAUCCAAUAAGGAGGACAGGUGGAUAUGAUAGACAGCCUAUCC
Molecule: long non-coding RNA, 1413 nt
Organism: Oncorhynchus keta (chum salmon)
Lineage: Eukaryota; Metazoa; Chordata; Actinopteri; Salmoniformes; Salmonidae
Exons: 5
Source: RefSeq, a predicted model, not a curated record